This 735-nucleotide long non-coding RNA is filed under the name Homo sapiens (human). RNAcentral describes it as "non-protein coding lnc-LRRC7-5:3". Lineage: Eukaryota; Metazoa; Chordata; Mammalia; Primates; Hominidae. The record is from RNAcentral.
AAAACAUUUUGGUUAGCCUGUAAAUUUAAAUUUUUUAUUGGCUAAGUAUUAUAGUUCCCAAUCCCUGAACAUAAUACAGUAUAUCAUAUAAAUGACUUUCAUAAAUAUUUUCAGGCCAUAGUAAUUUUUCUAGACCUAUUUUUGGAAGUGAAGUAUUUAGGAAUAUACAGUAUAUAGAAUUAGGGGAAUAUUUCAUUCAGAAUUCUAUUGUUGGUGAAUUUAAUUCUGGUAUGAUAUGCUGUAUUAAUGUUACCUCCAGUAAAUACAAUUCCCUCCAGAUUUAGCUAUUACACUUCGGUGUUAGCUCUUGGUCAGUGUUUUAGAACAGUAGACAUAGUCUACGGUAAGGAAUAGUCUUAAUUGGUAAAACUAAGAUAGCUGAAUUUGGAAGGAACUCUUAAUAGUAAUGGAUUUGGGGAUUUUUUAGGUUCCUUGGUUAAUGUUUGUUUCUUUUGUCUGUUUCUUUUUCUUUCAUUUCUACACAUUCAUGCAGUAUUUCAUGGUUCUAUCAAAGCAGCAGUAAAAAAAAUACUCUUGACGCAUGAAAAUUAACUGUUCUUUUCCCUGGUUCAGCCUGAACUAUAUACCAGGCCCUGCUGAAAAUACCACCCAACAGUUUUCUUCUGCAGCUUAUCCAGUUUCUCUUAAGUGCCCUGUACAUAUUGUAUGUUUUAUGAUGAGAUGCAGUUUCUUAAUAUGUAUUACAGAAAUACUACUGGUAUUUGCAAAUAUGUA